Solanum pennellii is the source of this 1052-nucleotide RNA transcript. It is a transcript of the gene named 40S ribosomal protein S9-1-like, with no coding region annotated. The record is from RefSeq and is a predicted model, not a curated record. NCBI's taxonomy places the organism in Eukaryota, Viridiplantae, Streptophyta, Magnoliopsida, Solanales, Solanaceae. The transcript has 4 exons.
ACCAAAUUCCUUUCAAUUAAAUAAAAAACCAAAAAUACUCUACUCCAAUUCAGUCCCCAAAUUCUAAGGCUCGUCACUCUUUUCAAUUCCAUCUGAAGCGGUAGACUUGAGAUUCACUAGAUUAAUCGGAGCUCAUGCAAUUUCUCUGAAGCACCAGCAAGUCUCCUUCCAUGGAUACGGACGACGUAUUCAGGCUGAGCACCGGCAAUUUUCAUUCUUUCAGUAUACUCGCUCUUAUACUUCCAACCUGUAGUAUCUCUCUUUAAUUUUCUUCUGAAUUUAGCAACCUACUGAUGAAUCUCGAUCUCUCUUUCUCUCUGGAAAUGUAUACAUGCAUGUGUUAUCAGCCUAUAAGCUAAUAAAUAUGCCUUUCAUCUUUAAUUUUCUUAUUAUUUGGUUUAAAGUCGUUGAUAAGAUUAGGAAUGUUACUAGAUUCACAAAGUGUUCGACAAAAUAUCUAGAGAAAACUUGAUCUACUGCUCUAUCAAUUUUUAGUUUUUUUUUGUUGCGAUGUUGGCAUUUUCUAUCAAUUUUACUUAGACCACUUUUGAGAAUUUCACUUUUCAAAAACUUGACUUGAUUUUAUUAGUGUACUAUAGCUUUGGCGAAAGUAUAGCUCCAAAAAAACAGACGAGAAAGAUUUCUCUUCUCAUUAGAAAGGCAAAAAUUAGCAAUGAACAUCACAUUUUGGAGAUUGGAUUUGGUUGAGGAGGAUUCGCGUAGGAAGUUCUCAAGAAACAGGAUGUCAAUAUACUGGCAUAACUAUUUCUGAGCAGCAGCUAGAGUAUGCAAAGUUGAGAGUUGAGCUAGCAGGCCUUCAGGUGUUGGAACAUAUUGGUCAUGACUUUAUAGGGGAAUUCUUUAGUUGUUGCGAGUCUGCAUUGGCAAAAGAUGGGCUUCUAGUUAUGCAGACCUUGAAGAAGCCAUGAAGGCCUUACAAGAAAAAGCGAUUGGAUGCAGAAUUGAAGCUUGUAGAAGAGUAUGGACUAAGGUGCAAGAGGGAGCUUUGGAGAUUUCAGUAUGGUUUGAACCGUAUCAGGAAUGCUGCUAAA